Molecule: ribosomal RNA, 586 nt
Filed under: uncultured bacterium
Lineage: Bacteria
Description: partial 16S ribosomal RNA
Rfam family: Bacterial small subunit ribosomal RNA
Source: RNAcentral
UGGGGAAUAUUGGACAAUGGGCGCAAGCCUGAUCCAGCAAUGCCGCGUGUGUGAAGAAGGCCUUCGGGUUGUAAAGCACUUUUAUCAGGAGCGAAACGCUGUCGGCUAAUACCCGGCGGAACUGACGGUACCUGAGGAAUAAGCACCGGCUAACUUCGUGCCAGCAGCCGCGGUAAUACGAAGGGUGCAAGCGUUAAUCGGAAUUACUGGGCGUAAAGCGUGCGUAGGCGGUUUCUUAAGUCUGCUGUGAAAUCCCCGGGCUCAACCUGGGAAUGCAGUGGAUACUGGGAGGCUAGAGUGUGUCAGAGGGUGGUGGAAUUCCCGGUGUAGCGGUGAAAUGCGUAGAGAUCGGGAGGAACAUCAGUGGCGAAGGCGGCCACCUGGGACAACACUGACGCUGAGGCACGAAAGCGUGGGGAGCAAACAGGAUUAGAUACCCUGGUAGUCCACCCCUAAACGAUGCGAACUGGAUGUUGGUCUCAACUCGGAGAUCAGUGUCGAAGCUAACGCGUUAAGUUCGCCGCCUGGGGAGUACGGUCGCAAGACUGAAACUCAAAGGAAUUGACGGGGUCAUAGCUGUUUCCUG